GUUUAGUAUUAUUGAGCGCGUUAUUAAUUAUCCUACACAAUGUGAAUUCCUCAUUGAAACAAUUAUUGUGAUAGAAUUUCAAUUAUUGCAUUGAAUUUGGGUUUUUACUCUUGAGUUUAAUUAAUUUCUUUUUAAAAGUAAAAGUUUGAUAACAAUUUUUUAUUAACUGCAUUAUUAAAUUUUGACUCUGAUAGUUUAGAUAAAUUAUACUACUUAAUUAAUAUUCAAAAAUUGUUGCAGAGUCGCUUUUUGUGGGACAACG
RNAcentral lists this unclassified non-coding RNA (262 nucleotides) under Hevea brasiliensis (rubber tree). The record is from RNAcentral. Lineage: Eukaryota; Viridiplantae; Streptophyta; Magnoliopsida; Malpighiales; Euphorbiaceae.